GAUGAACGCUAGCGACAGGCUUAACACAUGCAAGUCGAGGGGCAGCAUAAAAGUAGCAAUACUUUGGUGGCGACCGGCGCACGGGUGAGUAACGCGUAUGCAACCUACCUAUCAGAGGGGAAUAACCCGGCGAAAGUCGGACUAAUACCGCAUAAAACAGGGGCACCGCAUGGUGAUAGUUGUUAAAGAGAUUCGCUGAUAGAUGGGCAUGCGUUCCAUUAGGUAGUUGGUGAGGUAACGGCACACCAAGCCGACGAUGGAUAGGGGAACUGAGAGGUUGGUCCCCCACACUGGUACUGAGACACGGACCAGACUCCUACGGGAGGCAGCAGUGAGGAAUAUUGGUCAAUGGGCGAGAGCCUGAACCAGCCAAGUCGCGUGAAGGAAGAAGGAUCUAUGGUUCGUAAACUUCUUUUGCAGGGGAAUAAAGUGCAGGACGUGUCCUGUUUUGUAUGUACCCUGAGAAUAAGGAUCGGCUAACUCCGUGCCAGCAGCCGCAGUAA
RNAcentral lists this ribosomal RNA (503 nucleotides) under uncultured bacterium. RNAcentral's name for it is "partial 16S ribosomal RNA". It matches the Rfam family "Bacterial small subunit ribosomal RNA", at positions 28 to 523 of the family's 1533-position model. The record is from RNAcentral.